Long non-coding RNA from Diceros bicornis minor, 3581 nucleotides. RefSeq lists it as uncharacterized. The transcript is spliced from 6 exons. The record is from RefSeq and is a predicted model, not a curated record. NCBI's taxonomy places the organism in Eukaryota, Metazoa, Chordata, Mammalia, Perissodactyla, Rhinocerotidae.
UAUCUCCCGCCAAGAUAACAGAGGAACAGAGACGAGCAGCUUUCUCAGGCACAGGUUUCAGAUUCUGAGGUCUCAAAAGGCGAAGCCAUUUCUCUCCGCGCUUUUGCAGUCACUGAAGAAUCAACCGCAUGUGUUCAUGGCUCUCUCUCCUGACCUCCCUCUGCUGUCCUUCUCUGUAGGGAGGAGAAGCGCUCACUAGGAGCCACCUGGCCCCCAGAUAACAGCUGAACAGGCGGUGCCCGAAGAAGGAGGAGGACCUGAGAUCUAUCUUCCCGUAUCAGAGGAGCUGGCCUGAGCAAGAGCGAUUAGACUUGAGCUCUGCGGCUUCCUAGGGUCAGACACAGGGCCAGUGGGUGAAGGCUCAAGGACCGCGAUUUCUACUCAUUCUCAGGAGGAAUUUUCUUACAGCUGGAUAGAAUUUCCUGCCAGCCCCUUGGCAGGCAGCAGGGCCACAGACUUGGUGGAAAGAUCAUCGACUUUGGAGUUUCUCUGCGUUUGUAUCUCUCUCUGACUCUUAUUAUCUGUGGGCUGUGUGAAAGUCACGCCAUGUGUCUGAGUCCCAGUUUCCUCGUCCAUAGAAGGCAGGGGGGAAAUCGAGGAGAGGUUUCUCCUAUUAGUCCGAGAUGUGACAGAAGAGAAGACAGAAGAGAUGAGGUGCGAGAAGGACUUGACCACCAUUGCUGGCAUUGAAGAUGAAGGAGUCCAUGAGCCAAAGAACGUGAAGUGGCCUCUAGAAGCUGAGAACAACCCUAGGUCAACAGGCAGCAAGGAAAAGGCGACUUCAGCCCUCCAACUGCAUGGAACUGAAUUCUGCCAACAACCUUCAUGAGGCAGGGAGCCGACUCUCCCCCAGAGCCGUCAAAUUUAAAUCUGGAAUUUAAAUAACAAUGGAAUUAUGUGUUCUUUGGAGAUUUUGUGGAAAUCCUUUGUGACACCAUCUGAACCUGAUACUUUAGGUUUCGUAGGGUCAAGAAUCCAGGCGCAGCUUAGCUGGGAGGUUCUGGCUCAUGAUCUCUGAUGAAAUUUCAGUUAAGCUGUUGGCUAAGGCUGAAGUCAUCUGAAGGCUUGACUGGGGCUGGAAGAUCCACUUCAAAGAAGGCUCACUUCCCUGGCUGUUGGCUGGAAGCCUCAGUUCCUUGCCAUGUGGGCCUCUCCACAGGGCUGCCUAAGUAUCCUCAAGACAUGGGACUGCCUAAGUAUCCUCAAGACAGCAACUGGCAUCCCCUAGAGUGAGUGAUCCAACACAGAGAAAGGGAAUGACCAAGAUGGAAGUCAUGGGUUUGGCAUCCAAUAUCAAGCCACUCACUAUCAAGCCCUUUUAACUCAAUUGACAAGGUUCUGGAGAACCAGGGCCCAUCACAGGCUAAGUUGGAAGAAGGGGUUGGACAGGAGAUGCAACUGCCAAUCACGCUGAACCAGACCAAGCCUCGCCCCAAGAGCUACGCCCAUGACCUUUGCCUUAUUUUUAAUGCUAAGAUCUCUCCAGGAGGAGCUUCGGCCUUAUCGCUUUAACCUGCAGUGCAUGUGAAAGCAUGUUUUCCUACUGAGCCUGCGCAAGCGAAUACCCACCUCUCCCUUUUGAGUAUUCAUUCCCCAUUGAAAAUAAAAGGUCCUUGCUUCCCUUUGUUUGGGGGACACCAUGACUUUGGAAAUGAUUCUGCAUGGCCUUCUAUUUGCUACAAAUAUAACUUACUUUGUGAGACAACUUCCACUGGUAUAGAGUUUUAUUUAACUCACCAGGAGGCAAACCCACUUGGUUAGAUAACAUACUGAGAAGGCCUGGGAGUCAUGACUCCCAGUGUCACUGUGCAUUGAGCACGUCUAGCUCUCAGAUUUUGGUUUCUAAAUAUCAUUCUGCACUAAAAGAAACCAAGGCUCUUUGGAGAAAUAGAAGAUUCCAGUUCUGGUUCAGGAAAAAUACAAGAUAAGCCUGAAACAUCCUGUGCCUGAAAGAGAGAAAGUGCUCAAAAAAUUGUGAGGGUAUGUCAAAACAACACAGAAACCAACUUGAAGGAGUUCCCACUGGCUGAAUCUAGGACAAUCUGAGCAGCAAAAUAAAUAAUGAGGUAACAGAUUAAAGCCCAUUGAAUAAAAUCGGAAUACAUGAGUUCAUGCUAAUCUAAAUAAACAAAUGAUAUAAAUUAAUUAAUUAAUGGUGAGAUACAGGAUAUUUAUAUCAUCUCAAAGUAACUCCUUUAUUACAAAGGGAAAAAGAAUAACUUUACAGUGGAGCAACCUGGUAGAUACCACGUCAACGAAGUGAUUAAAGUUAAUAUAACUAGGAUUGAGACUAAUAAAAAUUAUGUGCCACCUAAUGGAAUUCAAUGAGAAGAACACAUCGUUACUUCUGUGAUAUUCUCACCAAAGUCGUAUAACCUGAAUCGAAUCUUAAGGGAACAGCAGACUAACCCAAACUGAGGUACCAUCCACAAAAUAACUGGUCUGUAAUCUUCAAAUGUGCCAUGACCGACCGUGAAAAGCAAGGGAAGAAGGAGGAACUGCUCUACAUUGAAGGGGACUAAAGAGCCAUGAUGACUAAAAGCAGCAUAUUGUUCUGAACUGGAUCCUUCUACUACAAAGACAUUAUUGAGACAAUUGACGAAAAUUGAAUAGAGUGUGAGGACAAGACAGGUGUAACGUAUCAGUGUUAAUUUCCUAAUUUUGAUGGUUGUAUUGUGGUUAUGUAGGAAAAUGUAUACCUUUGUAAGAAAGUCACCUUAAAUAUUCAAGGAUGGUAAGGGUAUCAUAUCAACUUACUCUCAAAUGGUAUAGGGAAAGUUCUUUGUACUCCAAUUGCAAUUUUUGAAAAUCUGAUAUUACAUCAAAUUUUUUUAAAAAAUUUACAUCGUCCAAAGGCGUGAACAUUUUAACGAUUCUUGAUAAAAAUUGCUAAGUUGCUUUCCAAAAGGGUUGUACCUUGUCUUAUAACUAUGCAGUUCCAUUUUUUCCUAUUAAAUUUUUGUCAGGUAAGCCAGGCACUAACAGCAUUCAAAGACCUUAUUUUCAGACCUACCUGUCACACUUUAUAAUAGAAGUGCUGAUUUUCAUGAACUCACUUAUUAUCUCAAUGUGGGGGUAAUCACUCAUUGUAUCAUUAGCUGAUAAUGACUAGAUGAGUUGAUUGAGCUGCAAAUGACCAUGGUUACAGAUUGCAGCUCUAGCUGAUUAGAUAAAUAUGCCACAUAUUUCAUUUUGAUCAUAUCAAUUUCACUAUCAUUUGACUGAAAUGUCUUCCUUCAACCUAAAGUUCUCAUUAAGGCAUGGUAAUUUCUCUGAAAUAUGACUGUAUGUAUGACUUCUACCAGCCAAAACCAAUAGUUACAGAAAAGGAAGGUUAUUUUACAUUUUAGCAACUGCCUUGUUAUAUGAUUUUACACAAUUCUAGAAAUCUGAAGCUCCUUUGUUAGAAAGUGAAUAGUAUCUUUAUGACACUUGGAAUAGAACACGUGUGGCAGGGCAGAGAGAUCAGUGCUUCUUUAACUGACCAUCCUGUCUAGUUUAAGAAUUUUAGGAGGAAGAUGGGCACGGAUGUUAGCCCAGGGCCAGUGUUCUUCAGCAAAAAGAGGAGGAUUGGCAGAUGU